CUUGCUGGGUGGAUUAGUGGCGAACGGCCCGAGUAACACGUGAGUAACCUGCCCUUGACUCUGGGAUAAGCCUGGGAAACUGGGUCUAAUACUGGAUAUGACUGCUCCGCGCAUGCGGUGGUGGUGGAAAGCUUUUGCGGUUUUGGAUGGACUCGCGGCCUAUCAGCUUGUUGGUGGGGUAAUGGCCUACCAAGGCGACGACGGGUAGCCGGCCUGAGAGGGUGACCGGCCACACUGGGACUGAGACACGGCCCAGACUCCUACGGGAGGCAGCAGUGGGGAAUAUUGCACAAUGGGCGCAAGCCUGAUGCAGCGACGCCGCGUGAGGGAUGACGGCCUUCGGGUUGUAAACCUCUUUCAGUAGGGAAGAAGCUUUCGGGUGACGGUACCUGCAGAAGAAGCGCCGGCUAACUACGUGCCAGCAGCCGCGGUAAUACGUAGGGCGCAAGCGUUAUCCGGAAUUAUUGGGCGUAAAGAGCUCGUAGGCGGUUUGUCGCGUCUGCUGUGAAAGACCGGGGCUCAACUCCGGUUCUGCAGUGGGUACGGGCAGACUAGAGUGAUGUAGGGGAGACUGGAAUUCCUGGUGUAGCGGUGAAAUGC
Molecule: ribosomal RNA, 600 nt
Filed under: Arthrobacter sp.
Lineage: Bacteria; Bacillati; Actinomycetota; Actinomycetes; Micrococcales; Micrococcaceae
Also listed under: 1 other name
Description: bacterial SSU rRNA
Rfam family: Bacterial small subunit ribosomal RNA
Source: RNAcentral